Molecule: long non-coding RNA, 2650 nt
Organism: Aethalodelphis obliquidens (Pacific white-sided dolphin)
Lineage: Eukaryota; Metazoa; Chordata; Mammalia; Artiodactyla; Delphinidae
Exons: 3
Source: RefSeq, a predicted model, not a curated record
CGAAGGGCAAAAGAUACAUGUGUCAACUCGACCUCCAUCCCUAGGCAGGGGUCAGACAUCAUUAUAACAGGAGGGUCUGUGGCUGACUGUGCUUGAAGCUAUCUCUGCCUCUUCCUGGCUGGACAAUCUUGAACAAGUCACUCAACCUCUCUGGGCCUCAGUUUCCUCAUCUGUAAAAUGAGGAGUAAAAUAGUACCUACUUUAUACUAUUGUUGUGGGGAAUCAAAUGAAUUAAUAUUUCUAGAACAGGGUCUGACCCUUGUCAGCUUUUUAUAAGAACCAGUUAUAAUUACUUGACAAUCAGAACCGUGUGAUGUUCAUAGGAUAUUAAAAGAGAGCCAUCAGGAUACGGGUACUAACGACGUGCAGGCACCCCGUCCCAAGUGUUCAUGCAUUUAACCCCCAAGAACACUCUUCUGAGGGAGAUGCUCUGAUCCCCAUUUUACAGAAAGAUAAAGACACUUGCCCAAGGUGACACAGAACAUAAAGGCAGAAAUGGAACCCAGGACCCAAAGACAAAUAUUUGACCCUUAGAAAGAAAAAAGAACCAAGAUGGAGGAUAGGGAAGGAGAAAGUAGCGGGAAGGCAGAGAAAGAGGGAGAGGAAUAGGCAGUGACACAGAUGCACACAGCACAGAUGCAGGACUGGGGCUUUGGGGUGAGGCAGGUGGGGGAAAUGUGGUAACACUGGGCCAGGUUAGGCUGCUCCCACCAAAUGAGGAAGUGGCUGGAAGCGAGCACUGAGGGAGGCCACCCAGGAGGUGACAAGGACUUCUAGCCCCAGCAAGAGAUGAGCUGGGGCUGGGGAAGGAGGAACCUGAGGUUAGGGCCAGCAGCAGGAAGCCCCCCUCCCCUGUCCAGGCGGAACACCCACAGCUCCCCAGGGGGCCGGGCUCAGGAGAAAAAAGGGGAAACUGGAUGCUGGUCAUGGGACAGACGCUGAGUGGCCUGUUGCGGGGGCGUAGUAUUCGAGUCUGGAAGAGGGCCAGGGCCGAGUCCCAGGCAGCACUGGCUGCUAACAUCGCCGCUGCCCAGGCCUGGCCGAGUUCCGCCGCAGAAGAAUCAACACCCCACCAUCACCACCACCACCACCAGGUCUGGAGGGAGUAGGUCCUGCAGGCCCUACUGGCACACCAGGCAUCUCAAGCGACAGGUACAACUUUACUGGUGCAGACCCCAAUACGCCGGCCUGGGCUGGUCUCCACUCCCUGGUCUCCAUUCCACCGGGAAAAGGAACGGGCUGAGAUGGAGGGCAGCAUCCUCCUCCCAGAGCCAGACUCCAGGAAGCAGAGUUGCCCCCCUGGCCACCAGAUCUUUAUUUCCUAUCAGUGGAUGACUACCCAGAUGUUUCCCACUCUGGCGUAAGGGAAAGUGCCAGCAAGCACUGUUUGGCUAGAAGGUGAGUGAGCCUGAAUUCUAGUGAUCAGCAAACAUUGUUUUCUCCCCUUCUUCUAUUGAAAUAGCAUUUGGAAUUGGGCAUCUGGUCCCCUGGCCAAGACUAUGUUUCUCAGUCUCUUUGGAGCCAGGUGAGGCCUUGUAACUGUCUUCUGGCCCAUGGAAUGUGGGAAGAAACAAAAUGGGCAACUUCUGUCUUUUUGUUUGUUUGUUUUGUUUUCAGUUUGUUUUUUGGCCACGUUGUGUGGCAUUCGAGAUCUUAGUUCUCCAACCAGGAAUUGAACCCGUGCCCCUUGCAUUGGGAGCACGGAAUCUUAACCACUGGACCGCCAGGGAAGUGGCCCGGUUGUGUUUCUGAAGGCAAAAGUGUGCCCUGCCCGUCUCUGCCCUUCCUCUUGGCUGGAGUGUGGCCCUGACACUGGCAGUGGGCACCCAUCUUAGACCACAAUGGCCAAGUUUUAUUCAUAAAAUGAAGGCCUUUUAAAUAUAAUUAAAGCAAUACUUGAUAGAUUUAUCAACUGUGUUUUACCUGUAUCAUAAACGCAGUCAUUACCAAUGAAUUAGAACUCUGCAAGCUGAUCUGAAGGGAUUUUAACUGAGAAAAGCAAGAUGCAGAGAACUGAAUCUAGUGCGAUUCCAAACAAUGACCAAAAAGAAUCCCUUAUAAAUAUAUGUAUACAUGUUUGCAUAUUUGAGUGAUGGUGGAGUAAACUAUGUAAGGAUACACCUGGGCCGCUAACGCUGGUAAUACCAGUGACCUGAAUCAGGAUAGGAGAUGGGGGAGGGUAAUCACAAAACAGGGUUGAAAGGAAAGGAACUGGGACAUCCCUCGUGACCCAGAGGUUAAGACUUCGCCUUCCAACGCAGUGGGUGCGCGUUCGAUCCCUCAUCAGGGAGCUAAGAUCUCACAUGCCUCGUGGCCAAAAAACCAAAACAUAAAACAGAAGCAAUAUUGUAACAAAUUUAAUAAAGACUUUAAAAAUGGUCCACAUCAAAAAAAAAUCUAAAAAAAAAGUGAAGGAACUGUAUGAGAACAAUGUGGGUAUAACAUGAUGCCAUUUACAUAAAAUGAUAUAAGUAAAAUUGUGUAUAUCUGCAUAGAAAGAAGUAUGAAUGUGUAGUCAAAUGAAUGCCAACUGUGGUAUCUCUGGGCAGUGGGAUUUAGAUUAUUUAUUUUUUAAAAUUAAUUUAUUUGUUUUUAUUUUUGGCUGUGUUGGGUCUUUGUUGCUGUGCAUGGGCUUUCUCUAGUUGCGGCG